Molecule: long non-coding RNA, 2282 nt
Filed under: Homo sapiens (human)
Lineage: Eukaryota; Metazoa; Chordata; Mammalia; Primates; Hominidae
Description: non-protein coding lnc-BUB3-4:1
Source: RNAcentral
CUUUGGUAAACAGGAGCUGUGUGGAUUUAUAUAGUCCUUAGAGAUUCUUUUUUAGUUGGCUUAACUUCUGUUUAUAUCUUUUCCCAGUCCAAGAUAUGCCUAAAAUGGUUAUUUUGGAGUUGAUGAUCUUCUCCACAGUAAAACCUGUUGAUAGACUUCUGAGUUUUGGGAUCCCCAGCCAGUCUAGCCUGACCCCCUUAUUUUGAAGCAGCUGAGGGAAAGUGCGUCGCCUCAGAUCUCAGGACUUGGAGUCAGCCAGUCAACUCUAGGUCCCCUGUCAUGAUUCAUGCUGAUGUUAGGUGGAUUUGCAUUCUCUGUCGAACUGGAUCUCUUGCUCAAAACUGACCCUGAGCCUAACCUUCUUUCCCCACUUACACAGCCAUUGUCACCAUCGCACCACUACUAUCAUCAUCACCACCACCAUCAUCACACCACCACCACCACCAUCAUCACUAUCAUCAUCACACCACCACCACCACCAUCAUCACUAUCAUCAUCACACCAUCACCACCACCAUCAUCACACCACCACCACCACCAUCAUCACUAUCAUCAUCAUCACCACACCACCACCAUCACCACCACCACCAUCACACCACCACCACCACUGUCGUCAUCACUAUCAUCAUCAUCACACCACCACCACCAUCAUCACACCACCACCACCACCACCGUCGUCAUCACUAUCAUCAUCAUCAUCACACCGCCACCAUCACCACCACCACCAUCACACCACCACCACCACCACCACCGUCACCAUCACUAUCAUCAUCAUCACACCACCACCACCACCACCAUCAUCACUAUCAUCAUCAUCAUCACCACACCACCACCAUCACCACCACCACCAUCACACCACCACCACCACUGUCACCACCACCACCACCACCAUCACACCACCACCACCGCCACCGUCGUCAUCACUAUCAUCAUCAUCAUCACACCACCACCAUCACCACCACCAUCACACCACCACCACCACUACUGUCAUCACUAUCAUCAUCAUCACACCACCACCAUCACCAUCAUCACACCACCACCACCAUCACCAUCACCAUCAUCACACCACCACCACCAUCACACCACCACCACCAUCAUUAUCAUCACCAUCAUCACACCACCACCACCACCAUCACCAUCACCAUCAUCACACCACCACCACCAUUACCAUCACCAUCAUCACACCACCACCACCACCAUUACCAUCACCAUCAUCACACCACCACCAUCACCAUCAUCACACCACCACCACCAUCACCAUCAUCACACCACCACCAUCAUUACCAUCACCAUCAUCACACCACCACCACCACCAUUACCAUCAUCACACCACCACCAUCAUCACACCACCACCACCAUCAUAUACCAUCACCAUCAACACACCACCACCACCAUCAUAUACCAUCACCAUCAUCACACCGCCACCACCAUCAUUACCAUCACCAUCAUCACACCACCACCACCAACAUUACCAUCACCAUCAUCACACCACCACCACCACCAUUACCAUCACCAUCAUCACACUACCACCACCAUUACCAUCACCAUCAUCACACUACCACCAUCAUUACCAUCACCAUCAUCACACCACCACCACCAACAUUACCAUCACCAUCAUCACGCCACCACCACCACCAUUACCAUCACCACCAUCACACCACCACCACCACCAUCACCAUCAUCACACCACCACCACCACCAUCACCAUCAUCACACCACCACCACCACCAUUACCAUCACCAUCAUUACACCACCCCCACCAUUACCAUCACCAUCAUCACACCACCACCACCACCAUUACCAUCACCAUCAUCACACCCCCACCAUCAUUACCAUCACCAUCAUUACACCACCACCAUCAGUACACCACCACCACCAUUACCAUCACCAUCAUCACAUCACCACCACCAUCACACCAUCACUAUAAUUACCACCACCAUUAUCACAUCACCACCAUUAUCAUCACCAUCAUCAACAUCAUACCACCACCAUCAUCAUCACAUCCUCUUCCUUGAUGUCUUAUCUCCAUGGCGUGUACACUGGAUGUAGAAUAUAGUCUUGCUGGGUACUACGGGAGCUGUAUCUCAGUAGAAGGAAUGAAGACUAGCUCUUGAUAAGCUGAAAAUCCCUUAAUAGCCUACAUUCUAAAUACGCAUAUUCAUUGUACCAGGGGUUUCUAACCUUGCUUUGAUGAUAUCCUAGUGUCACUGUCUCAAAACCAAAUUAAUUUUGGACUUGAGUAUUUAGCGUUGGGAGAAGGAGUAGGAUUGUAUAUUAUUAUAA